Molecule: long non-coding RNA, 1787 nt
Filed under: Homo sapiens (human)
Lineage: Eukaryota; Metazoa; Chordata; Mammalia; Primates; Hominidae
Description: TPT1 antisense RNA 1
Source: RNAcentral
GAGGUGCGCGCGCAGCGUGGGAGGAGGCCAACUCUCGGGGCGCUCCCUAGCCCUGGGUGGGUGGAGCGGGGGAAGCGGAGUACGUUGGACCCGGCUCCGCCCUACCCCACGGGGCCGCCUGGAGAGGUGCUGGGAGCUGGGUGGAGCUUAGAGGAAUUAAACUUUGGCCCUGCGCCUCGUCCAGCCUAGGUUCCACCCUUUUCUGGGAACUUUACACCCCGCCACUCCUGAGCACCGCACACCGGCUUCCUCCCAGUCCCUCAUCUGAGAACUCAUGAAGCCACUUGGAAUCCCUCUCUGCUUUGCCUGGCUCAUUCCAUGUCAAUUUCAGAUCUUCACUUCAGGUCAGCUCCAAGGAGGCUAUCCUUGCCCAUCUUCCUAAAAUAGAGCUCUCAAAACCUGGCUGUUUUCCUUCAGAGCACUGGCCUCCAAUUGCUCCGGUAGAUUGCAAAUGACCUGCUUUCUUUCUGUUCCCGGGCGUUUGGACCCCUGUCUUGGACCGCUGUCGGAUAGUAAAUCCCAAGUAAGGUACCUGCCGUCGGCAGAUUUGAGCUUUCUUCUUGGACACCUAAUACCCAGAGUCCUCCAGUAAAUCCCAAGCAAGGUACCUGCCGUCAGCAGAUUUGAGCUUUCUUCUUGGACACCUAAUACCCACAGUCCUCCAGGCUCCGGUAGAUUGUAAAUAACCUGCUUUCUUUCUGUUCCCGGGCUGCGUUCGGACCCCUGUCGGAUAGUAAAUCCCAAGCAAGGUACCUGCCGUCAGCAGAUUUGAGCUUUCUUCUUGGACACCUAAUACCCACAGUCCUCCAAGCUCCGGUAGAUUGCAAAUGACCUGCUUUCUUUCUGUUCCCGGGCUGCGUUCGGACCCCUGUCGGAUAGUAACUCCCAAGCUCCGGUAGAUUGCAAAUGACCUGCUUUCUUUCUGUUCCCGGGCUGCGUUCGGACCCCUGUCGGAGAGUAAAUCCGAAAAAAACAAACAAAGACAUGGAUUUACUGUGCAUAUUAGCAGAUCCAUACUGGAAAAUGCAUGGAGGUUUCAUAUACACCACUUACAGAUGCAGAAAGGCAGUGAACUCCUCCGGAGUAGCUGUCAGGUCACCAUUGAGGUCUGCAGCUUUGAAUCUUCUCUCAUCACGUGGCAGCAUCUUUUUAAAGGUGUGAUGAUCUGAAGAAUCAUGAAACUCUGCGGGGUUUCCUAGGUUUUCAGCUCCUCAGUAGUGACAAAGCCAUACCCAUCAUUGUCGAUUCGAUCAACAAUCUUCCCUAGCCUCUCCUUGCUCUCGUCCGGGGUGAGCUCGUCGAAGUUCUUGGAGUCCUCCUUGCCCAGGAAGGCCUCGUGGUCGUACUGGAAGCUCUGGUUGUCCUCAGGGGGCCGCUCGCCCAGCUCCGAGUCGGGCCGCACCACGCGCUCUUUGCGCACCGUGGGCUUGGCCCGCAGAACCCGCGGCGCCAGCACCAGCGCCAGCAGCAGCCCCAGGGCUAACCCCAGGCGGCCACCGCGCGCCAUCGUCCCGAGGAGAGGGCGGCCGGGAGGGAGACGCUGAGCGAGCGACAACAGCGGCAGCUCGGGAAUGGGGGCUCGGAGCGCGGCGGCCAAGUUUUAUGUUAUGUAUAUUUUACAAGUAAAAAAAUUUUUUCACCUCAGCCUGAACUGAACACUAGCUGACAGACGUUUUGAUUUCUUUGACCAUCACGGAAUCGUGGCCAAGCGCGGUGGCUCACAUCUGUAAUCCCAACACUUUGGGAGGUCAAGAUGGGCGGAUUGCUUGAAUCCAGGUGUUUGAGAU